Long non-coding RNA from Biomphalaria glabrata, 2545 nucleotides. RefSeq lists it as uncharacterized. NCBI's taxonomy places the organism in Eukaryota, Metazoa, Mollusca, Gastropoda, Planorbidae. The transcript has 14 exons. The record is from RefSeq and is a predicted model, not a curated record.
UGACCGCUAUGUCGAAGGCGCCGAUUAGUCGCCGAUUUUGGGUUGUUUCGUUUACGCACGCACUGCUAGUUUUUAAAUAACGAUUUAUACCUUUACUAACUCUGACCUAGAAGAGCGAUAGUGAAGCUAUUUUUAGGUGCUUAUCAUGGCUUAUGAUUAUCUCAUCUCUAUAUCUUAUCUUAUCUUAUAUAAUACAGCAUGUUGGAAUGGAUUUUUUGAAAGCCUUCAAAAUGAAACAUAUUUAGGCUUAUGAAUAAGAUUCUAAUGGGAAUAUUAAUGUUUCAGCUGUAGAAUAUGGAUAUAAAUAAUGAUUGGGGAUCGUCAUACCAUUUUAAGAUCCUGGGAUGUGAAAGACUUUGCACCAGACUUUCGUCAGUAUCUUUACCUCUUCCAUGCCGGCAAUAAAAUACAUCUGAAACUUGUUGGUGAGCCAUGGCAGCAGACGUAUAGAAGGCAUGCUGGGAAUGAAAUUCAUCACAUACAGCUGCAAAAAAGUGUUUUCAUUGGUAAUUAUGUGGGUUACACUUACCCACUAGCCUCUGCUGAUGCUCACCAAAGAAUGUUGAGUCAGAUAUUGAAGCCAGAGCUUUGUAUCUAAGUCAAAGACCACUAGUAUUUGACAGUGUUUACAGAGGACAAGAUGUCCCAGCUCAGUCCAAAAUUCAUAAAGACUGUGUCUCAGCGAAGCAUAAGAGUUGGUCUUGGAUUCAAACAGUCAAUGAAUUUUUAGGCAUUCAUAGUGAAAAUACUGCUAACUAUCAUCAGUUCUACCAUGAUGUUUGCCACCUGGAAGAAGACAUGCUUUCAUUCUUGCUUUGGAUGGACAGUUCAACAGCUAGAGCUCAAGUCAAGACUCAAGAUCCUGAUGUCAUGUUAAAACAUUUCAGAUUAAUAAACAAUUGUUGGACUAUCAGGGCUAGUUAGAUCUUCUCACAGAGCGAAGUUGAGAUAUUCACCCAGUUCAUCACCGCAAAGAACUGCCAGAAUGGAAUUUGAAGGCUAGAGCUCUUGUCCAAUAUCAGCACAAACAUGUGUCAUUAGCAAAAGGGGACUUUGUCAAGAUUUUGGAAAAUUCUGAUGCUGAAAGAUGGAAGAUGGAAUAGAAAGUGAAGUUCCUGCUAUUGUGUUGGUCAUUCCUUCCUGCUUCCAACAGAUUGAUAAAUUAAGAGAACAAAUCAAGGUCAAUAGUUCUAUUGCUGCUAAAAGAUUAAGGUCACAUUUGAUCCAGUUUUUAAGUGCUGCUAUUUCCCAGACACAGUCCAAAGAUUUAUGUUUUUCCUGCGGAAGAUGGUGAAUGAGGCAGCAGACAUCUUGAAAGGAGCUGAUUUCAAGUUCCUUCAACACUCUUUUCAUUUUAUUUAGGAAGAAGCUCAUCAGUCACUUCAAACCAGGUGAUGAUGGAGUCAUAAACAGUAGGAUACAGAGGUGAAACAAAACUGGAGCUUUAGUUUGUUUGUAGAACUUGGCAUCUACUCCAGACAUUAUUCUGAAGAACACUCAAGUAAAAGAAAAGAAGAAAUGUUAAAGGUUAAGGACUUGGGCUCCUAUCAUACUUACACUUCAAAAGCUUUAAUUUGAAAGGUCUUAUAUUUUUGUGGAAAUAAAUUUUACUAGUGGAGUUUUUGUAGCUGCCAGAGUGGAUCAAGGUGGAUGUGAUAUCUAUUUAUAAACAUGUAUACCAGUAUAUUGUAAUCAGUGAUUUUCAUUUUUUGGUAACAGUUUGUUUCCAUUUAGAUUGCAGUCUUUCUUAUGUGAAAACAAGAUGUCUGCAUAAUCUUAGAGGACAUUUUUAAACUCAUUUAAAUUUAUUAGAUGAAAUAUUUAUAAAACAUACAAUGUAAAUUGUUUUGUAAAAUGAUUAUACAUUUGAGUUCAUAAAAAUGUGUAAUUUUUUAAUGGCAUCAUGUUUCUGCUUAUCUGUAUCUGAUACUGAUGAUGUGUUUUCUAAAUCUAUUACUGCUUCACCAUUGAGGAAAAACUGCACAUGUUUAAACCCAUAUCUGAAGUAACUUUCCAGAAAAAAAAAAGAUGUAUGUUGGACAGUGUCCAAAAUUUCAAAUCAUUUCCUUCAAAAUGUUAUCAAUUUCCUCCAUAACUUCAUAACAUUAUUGAAUUUUUUCCUUCAGAACACAAUUGUAAAUUAUCUUUUUUUUUUUUUUUUUUUUGUUAAACCACAAUGAGAGUCUAAUAAUUAAUAGUCUAGCAAACAAUUACUUAUAAUUUGCCUUAUUAUUAUACAAUAUUAAGAUUUACUUCUGCAGGGAUGAAAAACUUUGUUUAAAAUACAAUAGACAUGUAUAAUAAUAAAGUACAUUCACACCUGACUCACUCAUAAUUUACAUGUGAAAAGUUUAUAUCAGAUUGUUUCUAUUUAAUGAUUUGAUUGCCAUCAGUGUCUUGUAUCUCUUUUGUGAUGGUAAAGUCACAAAAUGUAGGAAACCCCACUGUGUUUGGUCCAGUAUGUGGGUUAUUAUAUGUAAGUCUAUUGUAUUUUCUAUAUUAUUUUACAAAUGUAAAAAAAAUAAAAAGAAAUUGUUACACUGUU